RNAcentral lists this ribosomal RNA (3030 nucleotides) under metagenome. Its description in RNAcentral is "bacterial LSU rRNA". It matches the Rfam family "Bacterial large subunit ribosomal RNA". The record is from RNAcentral.
CAAAGAGCGCAGGGUGGAUGCCUUGGCGCCAAGAGCCGAUGAAGGACGGGGCAAGCACCGAAAUGCCACGGGGAGCCGCAAGCAGGCAUCGAUCCGUGGGUUUCCGAAUGGGGCAACCUACCAUCUUUAAUAGGAUGGUAUCCUUACCUGAACACAUAGGGUAAGGAGGGGCACCGGGGGAACUGAAACAUCUAAGUACCCCGAGGAAAAGAAAUCAACCGAGAUUCCCUCAGUAGCGGCGAGCGAAAGGGGAAGAGCCUAAACCGGUAAAAUGUUAAAGCCCGCAAGCGUUGUUUUACCGGGGUUAUACGGCUUACAGGAGCGAUUGCGGUAGCUCACAGCUGAUGUUAAUCCUAGCCGAAGGUGCUGGAAAGCACCACCAUAGAGAGUGAUAGUCUCGUAGGCGAAAGGUUUAAAUAGGCUGGUAAGUCCGUGAGUACCACGAGACACGUGGAAUCUCGUGGGAAUUUGGGAAGACCACUUUCCAAGGCUAAAUACUCUUGGCGACCGAUAGCGUAUAGUACCGUGAGGGAAAGGUGAAAAGCACCCCGGGAGGGGAGUGAAAUAGAACCUGAAACCGUGCGCUUACAAGCAGUCGGAGGACGUUAAAGUCUGACGGCGUACUUUUUGUAGAACGGACCGGCGAGUUACGAUAACUAGCAAGGUUAAGCAUGUAAGAUGCGAAGCCGCAGGGAAACCGAGUCUUAAAAGGGCGUGUUAGUUAGUUGUCGUAGACCCGAAACCGGGUGAUCUAUUCAUGGCCAGGAUGAAGCUAAGCUAAACCUUAGUGGAGGUCCGAACCCACUGGCGUUGAAAAGUCAGGGGAUGAGCUGUGAAUAGGGGUGAAAAGCCAAUCGAACUCGGAGAUAGCUGGUUCUCCUCGAAAUAGCUUUAGGGCUAGCCUCAAGGUUAAGAAUUAUGGAGGUAGAGCACUGAUUGAGCUAGGGGCCCUGCAAGGUUACCGAACUCUGUCAAACUUCGAAUGCCAUAAUUUGUUCCUUGGGAGUCAGACUAUGUGGGAUAAGCUUCAUAGUCGAGAGGGAAAGAGCCCAGACCGACAGCUAAGGUCCCCAAGUGCGAACUAAGUGGAAAAGGAUGUGGAACUGCACAGACAACCAGGAUGUUGGCUUAGAAGCAGCCAUUCAUUUAAAGAGUGCGUAAUAGCUCACUGGUCAAGUGGUUCUGCGCCGAAAAUGUAACGGGGCUAAGUUCGCCACCGAAGCUUCGGAAGGAAAUUUUAUCCGACUCUUACCUUUAAAAGUCUGGUGAGAGUAUAUUUUACCAAAGUUUUAAAGGUAAGGAUAAAAUUUCCUUGGUAGAGGAGCGUUCCAACAGCACUGAAGGUGACUCGUGAGGGUUGCUGGAGCGGUUGGAAGUGAGAAUGCCGGUAUGAGUAGCGAAAAGAAGGGUGAGAAUCCCUUCCGCCGAAAGCCUAAGGAUUCCUGAGGAAGGUUCGUCCGCUCAGGGUAAGUCGGGACCUAAGGCGAGGCCGAAAGGCGUAGUCGAUGGACAACAGGUUGACAUUCCUGUACCACCGAGCAUCGUUUGAGUGAAGUGGGGACACAGGAGGGUAGGUCAUCACACUGCUGGAAUAGUGUGUCCAAACGUGUAGGAAGCAUGGUAGGCAAAUCCGCCAUGCGUUAAUUCCGAGGCGUGACGGGGAGAGCUUACGAGCUCGAACUGACUGACCCCAUACUGUCGAGAAAAGCCACUAGCGAGAUGUGAGGUGCCCGUACCGCAAACCGACACAGGUAGGCGAGGAGAGAAUCCUAAGGCGCGCGAGAGAACCCCUGUUAAGGAACUCGGCAAAAUGACUCCGUAACUUCGGGAGAAGGAGUGCCUCAUUAGUGUGAAGUCUAUUCAGAUGGAGCAUGAAGAGGCCGCAGAGAAAAGGCCCAAACGACUGUUUAGCAAAAACACAGGUCUCUGCUAAGUGGAAACACGAAGUAUAGGGGCUGACGCCUGCCCAAUGCCGGAAGGUUAAGGGGAGAGGUUAGCGCAAGCGAAGCUUCGAACUUAAGCCCCGGUCAAUGGCGGCCGUAACUAUAACGGUCCUAAGGUAGCGAAAUUCCUUGUCGGGUAAGUUCCGACCUGCACGAAAGGCGCAACGAUUUGGGCGCUGUCUCAACGGGGGACUCGGCGAAAUUGUAUUACCUGUGAAGAUGCAGGUUACCCGCGACAAGACGGAAAGACCCCAUGGAGCUUUACUGUAGCCUGGUAUUGGAUUUUGGUAUGGGUUGUAUAGGAUAGGUGGGAGACUUAGAAGUCGGUACGCCAGUAUCGAUGGAGUCGCCGGUGGAAUACCACUCUUCUCAUGCUAGGGUUCUAACUAGCGGCCGUAAUCCGGUCAUAGGACAGUAUCAGGUGGGCAGUUUGACUGGGGCGGUCGCCUCCUAAAAGGUAACGGAGGCGCCCAAAGGUUCCCUCGGUGCGGAUGGAAAUCGCACGAAAGAGUGUAAAGGCAUAAGGGAGCUUAACUGCGAGACGUACAUGUCGAGCAGAUACGAAAGUAGGGCUUAGUGAUCCGGUGGUUCCGUGUGGAAGGGCCAUCGCUCAACGGAUAAAAGCUACCCUGGGGAUAACAGGCUUAUCUCCCCCAAGAGUUCACAUCGACGGGGAGGUUUGGCACCUCGAUGUCGGCUCGUCGCAUCCUGGAGCUGUAGUAGGUUCCAAGGGUUGGGCUGUUCGCCCAUUAAAGCGGUACGCGAGCUGGGUUCAGAACGUCGUGAGACAGUUCGGUCCCUAUCUGUCGCGGGCGCAGGAGAUUUGAGAGGAGCUGUCCCUAGUACGAGAGGACCGGGAUGGACGCACCACUGGAGUACCAGUUGUACCGCCAGGUGCACGGCUGGAUAACCAAGUGCGGAACGGAUAAGCGCUGAAAGCAUCUAAGUGCGAAGCCGCCCUCAAGAAGAGAUCUCCCACAGAGUUAAUCUGGUAAGACCCCUCAUAGAUGAUGAGGUUGAUAGGCCAGGUGUGUAAGGGCAGUAAUGCCUUUAGCUGACUGGUACUAAUAGGUCGAGGACUUGACCU